RNAcentral lists this ribosomal RNA (460 nucleotides) under uncultured bacterium. Its description in RNAcentral is "bacterial SSU rRNA". It matches the Rfam family "Bacterial small subunit ribosomal RNA", at positions 28 to 524 of the family's 1533-position model. The record is from RNAcentral.
GAUGAACGCUGGCGGCGUGCCUAAUACAUGCAAGUCGUGCGGAAAGGCCACUUCGGUGGUACUCGAGCGGCGGACGGCAGAGUAACGCGUAGGAACAUACCCCAAACUGAGGCAUAACUGCUCGAAAGAGCAGCUAAUACCGCAUGUGAUCUUCGGAUUAAAAGCUUCGGCGGUUUGGGAAUGGCCUGCGUCCGAUUAGCUAGUUGGUGAGGUAAAUGCUCACCAAGGCUUCGAUCGGUAGCUGGUCUGAGAGGAUGAUCAGCCUGACUGGAACUGAGAACGGUCCAGACUCCUACGGGAGGCAGCAGUAGGGAAUUUUCCACAAUGGGCGAAAGCCUGAUGGAGCAACGCCGCGUGCAGGAUGAAUGCCUUCGGGUUGUAAACUGCUUUUAUUAGUGAAGAAUAUGACGGUAACUAAUGAAUAAGGGUCGGCUAACUACGUGCCAGCAGCCGCGGUAAU